UGCAGNUCGAGCGAAUGGAUUAAGAGCUUGCUCUUAUGNAAGUUAGCGGCGGNACGGGNUGNAGNUAACACGUGGGNUAACCUGCCCAUAAGACUGGGAUAACUCCGGGAAACCGGGGCUAAUACCGGAUAACAUUUUGAACCGCAUGGUUCGAAAUUGAAAGGCGGCUUCGGCUGUCACUUAUGGAUGGACCCGCGUCGCAUUAGCUAGUUGGUGAGGUAACGGCUCACCAAGGCAACGAUGCGUAGCCGACCUGAGAGGGUGAUCGGCCCU
RNAcentral lists this ribosomal RNA (273 nucleotides) under Bacillus cereus. Its description in RNAcentral is "partial 16S ribosomal RNA". It matches the Rfam family "Bacterial small subunit ribosomal RNA", at positions 56 to 311 of the family's 1533-position model. Lineage: Bacteria; Bacillati; Bacillota; Bacilli; Caryophanales; Bacillaceae. The record is from RNAcentral.